RNAcentral lists this ribosomal RNA (253 nucleotides) under uncultured bacterium. Its description in RNAcentral is "partial 16S ribosomal RNA". It matches the Rfam family "Bacterial small subunit ribosomal RNA", at positions 524 to 776 of the family's 1533-position model. The record is from RNAcentral.
UACGUAGGGGGCGAGCGUUGUCCGGAAUUAUUGGGCGUAAAGGGCUCGUAGGCGGUCUGUUGCGUCGGGAGUGAAAACUUACAGCUUAACUGUGAGCGUGCUUCCGAUACGGGCAGACUUGAGGUAUUCAGGGGAGAACGGAAUUCCUGGUGUAGCGGUGAAAUGCGCAGAUAUCAGGAGGAACACCGGUGGCGAAGGCGGUUCUCUGGGAAUAUCCUGACGCUGAGGAGCGAAAGUGUGGGGAGCGAACAGG